CGAGCGGGUGAGUAAUACAUAGGUAACCUACCCUUAAGACGAGGAUAGCCAUUGGAAACGAUGGAUAAAACUGGAUAGGAUAUAGAGGAAGAAUCUUUUAUAUUUAAAAGAGAGAUCUGCUUAAGGAGGGGCCUGUGGCGCAUUAGCUAGUUGGUGGGGUAAGGGCCUACCAAGGCGAUGAUGCGUAGCCGGACUGAGAGGUUGAACGGCCACAAUGGAACUGAGAACGGUCCAUACUCCUACGGGAGGCAGCAG
This 255-nucleotide ribosomal RNA is filed under the name uncultured bacterium. RNAcentral describes it as "partial 16S ribosomal RNA". It matches the Rfam family "Bacterial small subunit ribosomal RNA", at positions 99 to 354 of the family's 1533-position model. The record is from RNAcentral.